RNAcentral lists this long non-coding RNA (361 nucleotides) under Medicago truncatula (barrel medic). RNAcentral describes it as "long non-coding RNA (MTRU_LNC001733)". Lineage: Eukaryota; Viridiplantae; Streptophyta; Magnoliopsida; Fabales; Fabaceae. The record is from RNAcentral.
CAAUCUCUCAAGAAAACUAAUUAGCACCAGUUUGUUUUCACCGUAGAAUAGCCGGCACGAGUUAACUAACUCUCACCUACAAUGUAUAGCUCCCACAUAACCACACAUUGUCGAAAAUCAAUAAACACAACUGACUCUGAAACUACAAUUUAUAGCUCAUACGUAACCACCUGCCAUAGAAAAUUGGUCAACACGUGUUAACUCAGCCCACAAUUCAUAGCUCUCAUGUGACCAUGACGGCGACACCCGACGGUGAAUCAACAUAACAGAGUUGAUCUCAACCAAUUUAAAAUUGGUUAGACAACACUAACAGGGUUGAAUCAACAUUUAAAAGCAGAAAAUUUAAAAAAAAUAAAUUCUU